UACGGAGGGGGCUAGCGUUGUUCGGAAUUACUGGGCGUAAAGCGCACGUAGGCGGCUUUGUAAGUUAGAGGUGAAAGCCCGGGGCUCAACUCCGGAAUUGCCUUUAAGACUGCAUCGCUAGAAUUGUGGAGAGGUAAGUGGAAUUCCGAGUGUAGAGGUGAAAUCCGUAGAUAUUCGGAAGAACACCAGUGGCGAAGGCGACUUACUGGACACAUAUUGACGCUGAGGCACGAAAGCGUGGGUAUCAAACAGG
RNAcentral lists this ribosomal RNA (253 nucleotides) under uncultured bacterium. Its description in RNAcentral is "partial 16S ribosomal RNA". It matches the Rfam family "Bacterial small subunit ribosomal RNA", at positions 524 to 776 of the family's 1533-position model. The record is from RNAcentral.